CAGCAUCUUUCCAGCUCCGCUGCUGACGCCACCCUGGCCACCUGAGAUCACCGCAAGUUCUCCUUGUCUUCCAGAACUCCAGCCACACCACCCGGUCCUAUGCCGCACGCAGACCUGAAGAGCGUGUGGUCUACUCUUCCUACAGGGACUAAUAUGUCUGAAGAAAUGCUGUUUGGAUAAUCAUUGUUCCUGUUCAUCACAUGCAUUGAGAACCAUGCUGAGACUACCACGGAAUACAGCCUGCGUUACAACAGUGUGCGUCUACUGCUCACAGAGCUGUCUCUGACCGUCGCCCCUUUGUCAGACGUGAGUGACUGCACCUAAAUGGACCGGCUGAAAAAUAGGAGGGGCCCCACUGUCAGCACUGAUAGGGGCUGCAAAGCCUCACAGCUGCCGCUCCUGGGGUCCCUUCCUGCUCUGAAAUCUGCAGCAGUUCCAUCUGGCAGAGUUUUCAAAGUUCUUCCCUGUUUCUUCAUCUUCCGGGUAAGAGGAUUCACAGCAGUGCUCAGAGGGGCACAGAAAGAGGGGUGAUGAGUCUGGAGACGUGGGUUCCUGAUUUAGUCCCACCACCGUGUACCCCUAAUUGAACACCACUUACUCUUCUGGUCCCCCAAUUUCCCGAUCUAUAGAUGGGAAUAAUGCUAGUGCCCUACAGUAUCCCAGAGGAAUGUCACGAGGAGAAAAUGAAGGGCGGCAUGAAAGUAUCUUGACAAAUACAAGCACAAGUCUCUUUCAAAAGCAACAUCCAGUGCAGAAUAUCAGCUCCUUUCUUGCAUCACCAAUGGAGACAAAGAAAAAAACUCCACUGUCAUUUCAAAAGGUAGUUCCAACUACGUCAAGGACACUCAAGACUAUGUUAAUAUUAGCUCUCCUGGCAUAGUCUUCAAACCAUCAUUUGAUAUCUACUUUAAACGUAUAAAUAUGAAUGGCAGGUUACAAAAAAAAAAUCAGGACUAAGACCAAGAGAAGAAAUAAAAGAGACUCUGCGAAUAUAUACAUGUCUCAAUUUUGGGGUAUGUUACUAACAAACCACCAAAAAGCAGUCACAUUUGUAAGACGUAUCAUCCCCUCUUUCUCUGUCUCCUCUCUCUUUCUGAUUUCUCUACGGAUUUUCCAAACUUUGCAGAGGCUCUUUUUGCAUAUUAAACUGAAGUCAGCUUCAAACACAAGCACAAACAACCCUGCUAAAAACAUUUUGUUCAAUGAAGGAUGAACUAUAUGACUCACCACAUUAUUAUUUUUGCAAAAAGCUAUUAUGUAAAUAUACAGGCUUAUAUGAGCUUAAAUAGUCCGAGGCAAGGAUGCAAAGAAAGGAAAUACAUACACAUCUACCGAAGCAAUGCUCACGGCGGCCUGGUUUUAACAGACAAUUGCACACCCUCACUUAAAGGGCAAAGAAGAAACCAUAUGUCUAUUUUAGUGACUCCAUCCCGAAACGGUGUACUUAUUCCU
Molecule: long non-coding RNA, 1452 nt
Organism: Panthera uncia (snow leopard)
Lineage: Eukaryota; Metazoa; Chordata; Mammalia; Carnivora; Felidae
Exons: 3
Source: RefSeq, a predicted model, not a curated record